AAUUCUAAACAGCUUGCUCUAGCCACAAAAAGGAUCAUUCAUGUAAAUCAGAGAUAAAAACCAAACUGCGUUUGGUAAGGAUACUUUCUUCUCAAUAUCCUGGAGGUUGUCUCAUUCCCCAGGGGUGUGUUUUUUUUUUUAAAGGCAAUAUGCAAAUGAGGUAGGUGAGCAUGUGACAGAACAAUCAAAAUUCAUGCAUGAUGAGAAGGAUCGAAUGCCUGCACUUGGAAUUAAUUUUGGAAGAACUGUCUGGUCUCUUUGAGAAUCUUUUCAUUGAAAGCAGUAUUUGGGGACUCAUUUGAUUACAGAUGUCACAGAUAUCUCAGUCUGACCACUGCCAGCUUGACCUUCUCAUCAUUUAGUAUGAAAAUCCCAGGGCUUCUGAGAGCCACACCCCACCCAAGGAAGUUUAACAUUGGAGUUCACAACAUGAUUUCCAUUCUAUGGAAGAAUUAUUUAUGCUCAGUUAAAUGCUGCAAGAUGUUCUGUACAUAUUACAGCCAAUGUGUACUGCCACAAAUCAAUCACUUUGUAUACCUCCAAACACAUUUUCAACU
Molecule: non-coding RNA, 557 nt
Filed under: Pongo abelii (Sumatran orangutan)
Lineage: Eukaryota; Metazoa; Chordata; Mammalia; Primates; Hominidae
Source: RNAcentral